RNAcentral lists this long non-coding RNA (964 nucleotides) under Olea europaea (common olive). RNAcentral describes it as "long non-coding RNA (OEUR_LNC003075)". The record is from RNAcentral. Lineage: Eukaryota; Viridiplantae; Streptophyta; Magnoliopsida; Lamiales; Oleaceae.
AACGGAAACCAUCCACUUGAUUGUUAAUUGACCAAGAAAGUCAAAAUUGAUCAAGAAAGUCAAAAUUUUAUCAAUUUUGACCAAAUUAAAAAGUACAAAUUAGUAACUUUAUAAUUAACAUAUUAAAAAAUUUUAAAAACUGAAAAACAAGAAAAGAAAUAAAAAAGGGUUAUCUAUUUCUCUCACCUCCACUCCACCCCUAUAAAAUCAGCCACAGCACGUUGACCAUUGCCUACACCAUCGCCGGCGGAGCCUCCCAACGACGCCACCAGCAUCUUCUCCACAUUUGAUGACAAUGUCGUAUUAUUGCUAAAACUUGAUGAAGAAGAUGAAAUCGGUACAGACAAGUAGCGAGUGACUUCUCGUGCUUUUACCCUGCGAAAAGCUCCAUUUUCAAGCUUAGAAGAUAGUAAUGGCGUCCGCUUGGAAAUACAAAUCUUUUGCCCAUCCGACACUUUUUCGUUCCCAAAUCAGUUUACAGAAAUGGUAGAGGGGUUUUUCGAUUUUGGGUGUAGGUUUUACGGUGCUGGUGGCGAUUAGUUUUGGUUUGAUGGUGGUGGCGGCGAUUUACUGUACAGUUUGUGUGAGACGGGUUGUUGUGGCUGUCCGACAGGCGGUGGUGUCGACAUUGCUGGGUUUGAUAUUUAUGUGACAUUAUUGGGAUUGUGUUUUGAAUCAAAGGCAAUUGAAUGGAUAUAUUUGUGGGAUUUGUUGAUUUCGACAAUUUUUUUGUUACAAUGAACUUCUGUGUUCUGGUUCUUGCAAUUGAAAACUUCAGUUAUGGUGGCGGUGAUGGUGGCGUUCUGUGUUCUGGUUUUGAGAUGUGAGAGGAUACAGAUUGAUUAGAAUUUGGGGUUUACUUGGUUUGCUGAGGGCAUUUCUUGGUUUUUCCUGUGCAAGGUGCCGCCAUUGGUGGUGAGGUGAGUUGUGGUGGCGAUGGCGACAUUGUGGUCGAAGGUGACUG